UACGGAGGGUGCAAACGUUGCUCGGAAUCAUUGGGCGUAAAGCGCACGUAGGUGGCCUGUUAAGUCGGGUGUGAAAUCCCUGGGCUCAACCCAGGAAGUGCACUCGAAACUGGCAGGCUUGAGUACUGAAGAGGGUCGCGGAAUUCCCGGUGUAGCGGUGAAAUGCGUAGAGACCGGGAAGAACACCAGUGGCGAAGGCGGCUACCUGGACAGGUACUGACGCUGCAGCGCGAAAGCUAGGGGAGCAAACAGG
Molecule: ribosomal RNA, 253 nt
Filed under: uncultured bacterium
Lineage: Bacteria
Description: partial 16S ribosomal RNA
Rfam family: Bacterial small subunit ribosomal RNA
Source: RNAcentral